Chenopodium quinoa (quinoa) is the source of this 3350-nucleotide RNA transcript. It is a transcript of the gene named pentatricopeptide repeat-containing protein At1g77360, mitochondrial-like, with no coding region annotated. The record is from RefSeq and is a predicted model, not a curated record. Lineage: Eukaryota; Viridiplantae; Streptophyta; Magnoliopsida; Caryophyllales; Amaranthaceae. The transcript has 5 exons.
UAACUAUGCUUACGGCUACAACAAAUCGUUAGACCGUCUCUCCGAAAAGGUUGUAUGUUCCAGCGAUGUGUGCGAGAGAUGUACCACAGACCACAGUGCAAGAUUUUUUCAACGAUCGUAGCAUUGAUGAAGGGAACCCUAAUUUGAUUCAAUUUUAUGUAUUUGUUAAUGUAGAUUUCAUUUAUAGAUGCCAGAUGACUUUUUAUUAAUGAAUUGAUUUGUUUCAAAAAAAAAGAACUUUUAUUAUUUUGUUUCGUUUUUUUUUUUUGUUUUUUAAUUAUUGUCUUUAAUAUUGUUGAUUUGUUGUACAAUUCAUUAGUUUAAUAGUUUGGGAGUUGGGACGACUCUAUCAAGACCCACCCAUUUUAUUAAUUGGACGGAUUUGACCCAUUUUUAACUAGGUUGGGUUAGGGCUUUUAAUUGGGCUUUAAGGCCUUCAACCCAUUGAAAUGUUCUCAUUGUUAAUAACAUAUAAUUAAAAAAAAAAAAAAUACUCCUCACUCUCUCUCUCAGUUCGUUCUCCAUUGAAGCGCACUUGACGUUCUCCAUUGAAAUACCUGUAUUCCCCAUUGAAGCAGCUUCUGAGGUGAUCGAUUUUGAAGUGAUAAAAGGAGAUGGUUAGGGCUCACUAUCAUUACAAGAAAUUUUCUUCAGUCUGGGGUGUUGUUACUAGAAUGUACACAUCUGAUGCAGCCGUCAAAGAUUUAUCUGAUUCCGCAUUUAAAAAAAUAUGUAGAAUCAUGAUGUCAUCUCCUAAAGUAGGACUGGAUGUCAGGCUUGAUCAUAGCGGAGUUGAGGCUUCACCAGAGAUGGUUGAGGAUGUUUUGAAGAGAUUUGGAAAUGCAGGUAUGAUAUCAUAUUGUUUUUUUGAAUGGGCAGGAAAGCAACAUUAUUACACACAUACUGUUGAAGCUUAUCACAUUAUGAUUGGGUCUUUGGCUAAAAUAAGGCAGUUUGAGAUUAUGUGGGAUCUUGUGAACACUAUGAGGAACAAGGGGGUGCUAAGCGUUGAGACGUUUUGCAUCAUCAUGAGAAAGUAUGCAAGGAUGCAGAAGGUGGAUGAGGCACUCUAUACAUUCAAUGUUAUGGAAAAAUAUGGUAUUACCUCAAACUUAGCUGCAUUUAAUGGGCUUCUAAGUGCUUUAUGCAAGUCUAAGAAUGUAAGGAAGGCCCAAGAGAUCUUUGAUAAAAUGCAUGAACAAUUUGUUCCUGACUCAAAAACUUAUAGCAUACUGCUUUCUGGUUGGGGAAGGGAACCAAAUCUCCCCAAGACAAGGGAGACUUUCAGACAAAUGAUUAAUGUAGGUUGCAAUCCUGAUAUUGUGACUUAUGGUAUAAUGGUUGACGUCCUUUGUAAAUCAGGGAGAACUGAUGAAGCUGUAGAAACUCUUAGGAGCAUGGAUGCUAAUGGUUGUAAGCCAACAUCUUUUCUUUACAGUAUUUUAAUUCAUACUUAUGGUAUAGAGAAUCGAAUUGAAGACGCCAUAGAUACAUUUAUGGAUAUGGCCGAAAAUGGUGUGGAGACUGAUGUGGGAGUGUACAAUGCCCUAAUUAGUGCAUUUUGUAAAGUAGAUAAAUUGAAUAAUGUAUUUCGGGUCUUAAAAGAGAUGGAUGGUAAAGAGGUUGUACCUAAUGCUAGGACUUGCAAUAUAAUAUUAAACAGUUUGAUUGGGCAGGGGAAGACUGAUGAGGCUUUUAAGGUGUUUAGAAAGAUGAUUAAGGUGUGUGAGCCUGAUACAGACACAUAUACAAUGAUGAUAAAGAUGUUUUUUGAGAGAGAUCAGUUGGAGCAGGCUCUGAAGGUGUGGAAGUACAUGAUGUCAAAAAGGUUUGUUCCAAGCAUGCAUACCUAUUCAGUUCUUAUUAAUGGGUUGUGUGAAAAGGGCCAGGUCAGUGAUGCAUGUGUAUAUAUGGAAGAGAUGAUUGAAAAGGGGAUUCAACCUCCAGUUUUGACCUUUCGCAAGCUGAGGCAGUUGCUUAUUAAAGAACGGAGGCAAGAUGUCCUGAAGUUUCUUCAGGAGAAGAUGAAUCUUUUAGUCAAGGAACCUUUGUGUGAUUGAGAGGCUAUGAAGACCGUGUUUACAAAGUAAUAUAUAGACUGAGUCAGAAGCAAUGAAUCACCCUUGCUCGAUUGUCCUUUGGAAUUUCAGGUUGGUCAAGUUGAUUGGCGAAUGGGUUGUUUUAUAGUUUAAAAAAAUUCUUUGAGAUCAUUAAGAUCUACCUUCACAUUUGUGCUUUACCAGGGACAUUGAUGCUCUGUAACACCAUUACAGAUUAUUUACAGUCUGGUAAUUCAUUGUUUGUAAAAUUUUAAUCAUUGGUUAGCUGUUGAUGAGAUUGUAAACAGUGCGAUGAUACCUUGUAUGGUCACUACACUAGUAGAAAAAAUGUCAUUUGCAGCAGCAAAUCUUUAUAUAGAACGCUGCAAAAUAAUAUAAGUCAACGUGGGUCAAAAAAAUUUAUUAGCAACGUUUUUAAUUGUAGGCGCUGCAAAUAAUUUUGGAAAUAAAAAAAUACAAGUAACCAGCUAGCCAUUUUUCUCCUACUCCGUACUUCAUUUUUUUCAUCAGAUAGAUAAAAACGAGAAACCUCUUCAUUUUCUUCACCAUCUCCUUCAUUUUCUUCGGCGUCCAACCAUCCACCUUCUCUGUCAACCUCCUCCUCACCGUCAACCUCUUCCUCCUGUACCAAUUUUAGAAGAUCCGGGGUCUUUUCUCUCCUCUUUCUCUUAAUACGUGGCCAUCCACCCUCCUCCAAGACGAGAUCAUACUGGUUCUCCAUUGAAGCGGCUUUUGAGCUUUCUUUGAAGAUGACUCGUUGCUCUCCUCUCAUUCCCUAUGAUUAUCAAAUGCCCUAAUUUGAAGGAGAUUUCUUUGAAUUUUUUCUCAUCAAGAUAAUGAUACCAUGAUGGACAACUUGGGAAAAUUCUGCCCAAGGUUGCAGAACUUUCAUGUUACAUUGCCUAGAUUAUCUCAUGCUACUGUUCUUGCUCUCUCAGCAGCAAGUUUGAGGGACUGAGAAUGCUCUCAUUAGUGUUGGGCUCUGGCAUCAGUGAUGCUUCUGUUGUUGCUAUUGCUUACAGCUUUUCAAAGCUAGAGCUGCUUGACUUGAGUGGGUAAUGCCUCAUCUUCAUAUUUCAUUGCUUAGCCAAAUUUGUCAGCAAUCAGCAAGAUUAGGCUUUGUUUCUAGUUUACUUAGUUUACCUCAGGAAUCUUAGAUUGUUAUUUUGUUGAUGUAGGUCUAGCAUCACUGAUAGUGGCAUUAGAAUGAUAUGUAACGUGUUAUCCCGAACUUAAUCAAUAUUAUUGCUAGCGCUUUGCCCUAAUAUCACUUCAAGUAAAUUUCUAUUC